Molecule: ribosomal RNA, 3071 nt
Filed under: Campylobacter coli
Lineage: Bacteria; Pseudomonadati; Campylobacterota; Epsilonproteobacteria; Campylobacterales; Campylobacteraceae
Description: 23S ribosomal RNA
Rfam family: Bacterial large subunit ribosomal RNA
Source: RNAcentral
AAAAAAGGUAAGCUACUAAGAGCGAAUGGUGGAUGCCUUGACUGGUAAAGGCGAUGAAGGACGUACUAGACUGCGAUAAGCUACGGGGAGCUGUCAAGAAGCUUUGAUCCGUAGAUUUCCGAAUGGGGCAACCCAAUGUAUAGAGAUAUACAUUACCUAUAUAGGAGCGAACGAGGGGAAUUGAAACAUCUUAGUACCCUCAGGAAAAGAAAUCAAUAGAGAUUGCGUCAGUAGCGGCGAGCGAAAGCGCAAGAGGGCAAACCCAGUGCUUGCACUGGGGGUUGUAGGACUGCAAUGUGCAAGAGGUAAGUUUAGCAGAACAUUCUGGAAAGUAUAACCAUAGAGGGUGAUAGUCCCGUAUGCGAAAAACAAACCUUAGCUAGCAGUAUCCUGAGUAGGGCGGGACACGAGAAAUCCUGUCUGAAGCUGGGUCGACCACGAUCCAACCCUAAAUACUAAUACCAGAUCGAUAGUGCACAAGUACCGUGAGGGAAAGGUGAAAAGAACUGAGGUGAUCAGAGUGAAAUAGAACCUGAAACCAUUUGCUUACAAUCAUUCAGAGCCCUAUGUAGCAAUACAGGGUGAUGGACUGCCUUUUGCAUAAUGAGCCUGCGAGUUGUGGUGUCUGGCAAGGUUAAGCAAACGCGAAGCCGUAGCGAAAGCGAGUCUGAAUAGGGCGCUUAGUCAGAUGCUGCAGACCCGAAACGAAGUGAUCUAUCCAUGAGCAAGUUGAAGCUAGUGUAAGAACUAGUGGAGGACUGAACCCAUAGGCGUUGAAAAGCCCCGGGAUGACUUGUGGAUAGGGGUGAAAGGCCAAUCAAACUUCGUGAUAGCUGGUUCUCUCCGAAAUAUAUUUAGGUAUAGCGUUGUGUCGUAAUAUAAGGGGGUAGAGCACUGAAUGGGCUAGGGCAUACACCAAUGUACCAAACCCUAUCAAACUCCGAAUACCUUAUAUGUAAUCACAGCAGUCAGGCGGCGAGUGAUAAAAUCCGUCGUCAAGAGGGAAACAACCCAGACUACCAGCUAAGGUCCCUAAAUCUUACUUAAGUGGAAAACGAUGUGAAGUUACUUAAACAACCAGGAGGUUGGCUUAGAAGCAGCCAUCCUUUAAAGAAAGCGUAAUAGCUCACUGGUCUAGUGAUUUUGCGCGGAAAAUAUAACGGGGCUAAAGUAAGUACCGAAGCUGUAGACUUGCACACAACUUAGAUUAUUUAAGUUUAGAAUAUGAGAAACUAAGUUAUAUGUUUAGUUAUAUUUUUACUGAUUUUUAUAGAGUAAAGAUAGAAAUAAAACUUAGUAAAAUCAGUAAAAAUAUUCUUAGACUAAAGUUAAGUAGUUUAAGUUGUGUGCAAGUGGUAGGAGAGCGUUCUAUUUGCGUCGAAGGUAUACCGGUAAGGAGUGCUGGAGCGAAUAGAAGUGAGCAUGCAGGCAUGAGUAGCGAUAAUUAAUGUGAGAAUCAUUAACGCCGUAAACCCAAGGUUUCCUACGCGAUGCUCGUCAUCGUAGGGUUAGUCGGGUCCUAAGUCGAGUCCGAAAGGGGUAGACGAUGGCAAAUUGGUUAAUAUUCCAAUACCAACAUUAGUGUGCGAUGGAAGGACGCUUAGGGCUAAGGGGGCUAGCGGAUGGAAGUGCUAGUCUAAGGUCGUAGGAGGUUGUACAGGCAAAUCCGUAUAACAAUACUCCGAGAACUGAAAGGCUUUUUGAAGUCUUCGGAUGGAUAGAAGAACCCCUGAUGCCGUCGAGCCAAGAAAAGUUUCUAAGUUUAGCUAAUGUUGCCCGUACCGUAAACCGACACAGGUGGGUGGGAUGAGUAUUCUAAGGCGCGUGGAAGAACUCUCUUUAAGGAACUCUGCAAAAUAGCACCGUAUCUUCGGUAUAAGGUGUGGUUAGCUUUGUAUUAGGAUUUACUCCGAAAGCAAGGAAACUUACAACAAAGAGUCCCUCCCGACUGUUUACCAAAAACACAGCACUCUGCUAACUCGUAAGAGGAUGUAUAGGGUGUGACGCCUGCCCGGUGCUCGAAGGUUAAUUGAUGGGGUUAGCAUUAGCGAAGCUCUUGAUCGAAGCCCGAGUAAACGGCGGCCGUAACUAUAACGGUCCUAAGGUAGCGAAAUUCCUUGUCGGUUAAAUACCGACCUGCAUGAAUGGCGUAACGAGAUGGGAGCUGUCUCAAAGAGGGAUCCAGUGAAAUUGUAGUGGAGGUGAAAAUUCCUCCUACCCGCGGCAAGACGGAAAGACCCCGUGGACCUUUACUACAGCUUGACACUGCUACUUGGAUAAGAAUGUGCAGGAUAGGUGGGAGGCUUUGAGUAUAUGACGCCAGUUGUAUAUGAGCCAUUGUUGAGAUACCACUCUUUCUUAUUUGGGUAGCUAACCAGCUUGAGUUAUCCUCAAGUGGGACAAUGUCUGGUGGGUAGUUUGACUGGGGCGGUCGCCUCCCAAAUAAUAACGGAGGCUUACAAAGGUUGGCUCAGAACGGUUGGAAAUCGUUCGUAGAGUAUAAAGGUAUAAGCCAGCUUAACUGCAAGACAUACAAGUCAAGCAGAGACGAAAGUCGGUCUUAGUGAUCCGGUGGUUCUGUGUGGAAGGGCCAUCGCUCAAAGGAUAAAAGGUACCCCGGGGAUAACAGGCUGAUCUCCCCCAAGAGCUCACAUCGACGGGGAGGUUUGGCACCUCGAUGUCGGCUCAUCGCAUCCUGGGGCUGGAGCAGGUCCCAAGGGUAUGGCUGUUCGCCAUUUAAAGCGGUACGCGAGCUGGGUUCAGAACGUCGUGAGACAGUUCGGUCCCUAUCUGCCGUGGGCGUAAGAAGAUUGAAGAGAUUUGACCCUAGUACGAGAGGACCGGGUUGAACAAACCACUGGUGUAGCUGUUGUUCUGCCAAGAGCAUCGCAGCGUAGCUAAGUUUGGAAAGGAUAAACGCUGAAAGCAUCUAAGCGUGAAGCCAACUCUAAGAUGAAUCUUCUCUAAGCUCUCUAGAAGACUACUAGUUUGAUAGGCUGGGUGUGUAAUGGAUGAAAGUCCUUUAGCUGACCAGUACUAAUAGAGCGUUUGGCUUAUCUUUAAUAAAGCAU